Molecule: ribosomal RNA, 497 nt
Filed under: uncultured bacterium
Lineage: Bacteria
Description: partial 16S ribosomal RNA
Rfam family: Bacterial small subunit ribosomal RNA
Source: RNAcentral
GAUGAACGCUGGCGGCGUGCCUAAUACAUGCAAGUCGAGCGAACGGACGAGAAGCUUGCUUCUCUGAUGUUAGCGGCGGACGGGUGAGUAACACGUGGAUAACCUACCUAUAAGACUGGGAUAACUUCGGGAAACCGGAGCUAAUACCGGAUAAUAUUUUGAACCGCAUGGUUCAAAAGUGAAAGACGGUCUUGCUGUCACUUAUAGAUGGAUCCGCGCUGCAUUAGCUAGUUGGUAAGGUAACGGCUUACCAAGGCAACGAUGCAUAGCCGACCUGAGAGGGUGAUCGGCCACACUGGAGCGGAGACACGGUCCAGACUCCUACGGGAGGCAGCAGUAGGGAAUCUUCCGCAAUGGGCGAAAGCCUGACGGAGCAACGCCGCGUGAGUGAUGAAGGUCUUCGGAUCGUAAAACUCUGUUAUUAGGGAAGAACAUAUGUGUAAGUAACUGUGCACAUCUUGACGGUACCUAAUCAGAAAGCCACGGCUAACUACGUG